CACUAUUUCUUUUUCAUCUGAAAAAUCAACAUGAAGAUUACCUAUUUUAUUGUAUUUGUGCUUGCCCUUUUCGCAACAGGAAUAUUCCAAGCAGAAGCAGGAAAUGUCCUCUCUAAACCAGUCACCGAAAAACCAGGCAAAGGAGGCAAAAAACACGGAGGCAAACAUUAAUAAAUAGCCUUAUUUUAAUAUGAGUUAUUAGUUUAUAUUAAUUCAUUUUAAAGUUUUACCUUACAAACACAAUAAAAAUGUAAUUAAAUUGAAAA
This is a long non-coding RNA of Diabrotica virgifera virgifera (western corn rootworm), 266 nucleotides long. RefSeq lists it as uncharacterized. The transcript is spliced from 2 exons. NCBI's taxonomy places the organism in Eukaryota, Metazoa, Arthropoda, Insecta, Coleoptera, Chrysomelidae. The record is from RefSeq and is a predicted model, not a curated record.